UUUUUUUCUAACCAAUCGGAAAAGGUGAAUCAAAGACAAAUUGACUAAAGCGACGGUUCAUUCAUCGUUAAAUUACAUAAAAAUCUAUUUUUUGAGAGCUAUAUAUAACAACGGUACAAAUCGUCGACAUAGUCAUGACAUUGUUUUUUUGUGCUAUAGCGAUAGAUUGACAAACAGGUUCCCUCCCUAGCCGGUUCGUUGACAAACAGGUUCGUUAGAGAAGGGUUCCCUAUACACACACACACACACACACAUACAUACAUAUAUAUAUAUAUAUAUAUAUAUAUAUAUAUAUAUAUAUAUAUUGAUAGAUUGAUAGAUAGACAAAUUAACACAUUAUAUUCUUCAGGUUAUACUACCUAUAUACGUACGUACCUCGUUUUUCCAAUAUUUUUGAUGAACUUUUGUCCAUAUUUCCUCCAUUCGAAACCAUCUUCGGGUAGCACCAACCUGUUACUCACUCCUCUAUCUAUAUCUAAUUGUUCCUCCUCCCUUGAAUAUUCCCUAUAAUUAAAAACAACACCCAUUAGUUUCUUCAUUCAUUUUAUAUCUAUCUAUCUAUGUCGUAAUGCUCACUCCAUGUAGAGAAAAUUAGACUGGAAUUAAGUCUAAAAGUACGUAUUACAUAUAUAUAUAUAUAUAUAUAUAUUAGAAAGAAAUAAAGUUAUUUCUAAUUUAAUUCCUUUUUUUUUCCUCAGGCGGAACUAUCAAGCAUAAUGCGCUCUACCUGGCUAGCUAGAUAGGAUGUAGUAAUUAAUAAUUAAAUAAAAUACACUAGGUAUAAACGAAAAAGUGUAUGGUGUGUGCUGAAAAGUCUACAUUAAAACGAUAUAUAUAUAUAUAUAUAGUGUGUGUGUGUGUGUGUGUGAAAAUUAUUGUAAGAACCCAUUUUAGAAUUGAAUUUAUGCUCACGUUUAAUGGUGAAACACGAGGGGGAAGAAAAGAAGUUUGACAAAAAGAUCUAAUCACAUUUUGAAAGGGUUUUAAAAUGCUACUGUGUAUAUACAGAGAUUAGAUCUAAUCUCAUCAAAGAAAUUACAUUUGAGAAAGUAUAAAUACUAAUAUAUAUCUAUAUAUAUAUAUAUAUAGAUCUAGAUCCAUAUAUAUAUAUAUAUAUAUCAACAAUAAAUUUGCAUACGAAAUACAAUGUAUAUGCAUACAUAUAUAUAACUAUGACAUGCUCAUUCGCAGAUUUAAGAAGCAAAUACUAUUAUCAUAUAUCUGUACUGCCUCCAUCCGUCCCAAAAAUAAUUAAAAAUACAAAAAAGAAGAGAGAGAAAAAAUCUACCAUAUAUCUUAGUGAAAAUUAUAAAAGGAUAACUCUUUUUUUAGAACAUAAAUUAUAUAUAUAUAUAUAUAUAUAGAAACAAUAUGAAUUAGUAUAUAUAUGUAUCUGAUAAUAGAACUUAUAAAAGCGCACCGUAUAAUUAAAAAGAUUAGUGAUAUAUAUAUAUAUAUAUAUAUAUAGGGUAGAAAAAGAAAUUAAAGAAAGAAAGAAUACAUACAUAGAGGUGGAUUCUUCAGUGUUAGGAGAAGUAUCAGUCAUGGCUGAUGGUAGAUGGCUGCUUUCUCAAUCUACUUACCUAGCUCCUACCUUUGGUUAACCUAGCUACACACAAACACCGAGAGAGAGAUCGAGAGACUCUGUGUGUGUGAGAGAGAGAGAGACCCAGAGAGAGAUCGAGAAACUGUGUGUGUGGAUAUUUAGUUCAUAGUCAAGGCAAAGAUAAACUAAUAAAUAUUAUGAUAAAUAAAUAUUCCGUUCUAAAAUUAAAAAAUAUAUUUUUCUUAAUCUAUUUCAAAAUUAAAUUAAACAUAUAUAUUUA
This 1826-nucleotide long non-coding RNA is filed under the name Panax ginseng (ginseng). RNAcentral describes it as "long non-coding RNA (PGIN_LNC010251)". Lineage: Eukaryota; Viridiplantae; Streptophyta; Magnoliopsida; Apiales; Araliaceae. The record is from RNAcentral.